Pelobates cultripes (western spadefoot toad) is the source of this 1527-nucleotide non-coding RNA. The record is from the annotation of a GenBank genome assembly. Lineage: Eukaryota; Metazoa; Chordata; Amphibia; Anura; Pelobatidae.
UUCAGAGCUCAUACACAGUGCUUUUCCCAAGAAUCUACAUGCUGAUGUAAAAUUGCAAAUUCUGUUUCAUCUUAUGAGUUCUUCAUUGGAUGUUGAAGAAGUUUAAAUUGUAACUGUUAUAGUUUUAUUUGUGAUGUUUAGUAUUUAAACGAGUGCUGAUGUUUCAUAGGACUUUUAAAAUGGUUUUUACUUAUCUUAAACUGGGAUCGUCUUCAACAGUACUGCAGCACUGUUCACACAGUUUUUGAAUGAGAAGCUUGGCUCUAAGUGAUGCAUGUCCCUUUAUGUAAUUUUAAGUUUGAGAUAAUGUUUUGCAAGUAUUUUAAGAAAGCUUAAGUCUAGCUAUCCAACUUUCAGGCUCAAAAUAAUCAUCCUUUAACACAGUCUCACAUUGCAAUAAGUCUAAUUUUCUUGCAUAGAUGAGGGUACAGUUCAGGGCUUUAACAAACAUUGAUGGAAUAGAAUGUCAUUUGUUUACACAUCUGACAGCAAAGGGGUUAAAAUGUAAAACCUGUACAUACAGACUUCAAGCACAGUGACCAAGCACCCCUUUAAUGUUUUGUUAUGUGUGAAGAUAGGGUAUUGGAACAUUUGAGCUGUUCUUUUAAAAUGAACCAUACUAUGUAUGGGUGUAUGUAAAAGAAAGCAUUACAUUAUGGUGAAAUGAACAUGAACCAAAAGUGCAGAAAAUACCUUGACCACAAACACACUGUAUCUUAAAUUCUGUGCCAUUAAAGGGAUACUCCAAGAACCAUAAACGUCAGUGUUUGGAUUGUUCAUGGUGCUUGCAGUCUGUAUCUCAGCAUAAAACACUGAACAUACAGAGAUAUUUUAUAUUGCUGUCGGACAAGUAAUUCCACCUUCGCCAGCAUAAUCACAGUACCGUUAGCAAGCAAACGCGAGUUCUGGGCUAAUAUCAAACCUAUGCAUAUUCCAUGGAAAGAAUGUCAAUCAUUGCCUGAGAAAGCUCAGCUGAUGCUUUCCAUCAGUAAAUAACUGGCUGGAUUGGCACCAAACUUGCUAGUCAUCCAAGACCAGAAGAAGCGAGAUGGGACCCAGGUAAUAUUGCAAAAUGGUUUGUCCUGUUACUGGGGAACUGGCCAGACUGCUCAUAGUAUCAUAACCAAUACAGGGGGCUGUAGUGGUUGUAAUGCUUGGAGUAGCCCUUUAAGGAAUUAUAGGAUAUCAUGGUUGAUCAUAUCAAAUGCCUCUGUAUAUUAAGCAAAUAGCAGCAAGGCUGGAACAGAUAUGUUACUGUAGUUCACGAGAUCUAGAACUGAAAUAUAUCAAUCAUCUUGGGAAGCACUAGUUAAGAUAUUAUUUUGAUUUAUUUUGGACAGGGUUCUCUCCAAAGACUAGGUCCACAAAGUAAGCAUAGGAUGAAUUUCCAUGCAGAUUUCAGAUUUCCUUUUCACAUAUGAACUGAAGAGCGCGGGAGCAGUGAGCAUCAUUCCAGCCACCAUCUGGGAAACGCUGGCCGCAGUCCUCUCCGCCUUCAUAACCAAUUUCAUGGUAAUCAUCAGGUUG